GAUGAAGAACGUAGCGAAAUGCGAUAAGUAAUGUGAAUUGCAGAAUUCAGUGAAUCAUCGAAUCUUUGAACGCACAUUGCGCCCGCCAGUAUUCUGGCGGGCAUGCCUGUUCGAGCGUCAUUUCAACCAUCAAGCCCCCGGGCUUGUGUUGGGGACCUGCGGCUGCCGCAGGCCCUGAAAAGCAGUGGCGGGCUCGCUGUCACACCGAGCGUAGUAGAUUUUAUCUCGCUCUGGGCGUGCUGCGGGUUCCGGCCGUUAAACCACCCUUUUAACCCAUGGUUGACCUCGGAUCAGGUAGGAAGACCCGCUGAACUUAAGCAUAUCAAUAAGCGGAGGA
Molecule: unclassified non-coding RNA, 337 nt
Filed under: soil metagenome
Description: partial contains 5.8S ribosomal RNA, internal transcribed spacer 2, and large subunit ribosomal RNA
Rfam family: 5.8S ribosomal RNA (bases 1-120)
Source: RNAcentral